Long non-coding RNA from Octodon degus (degu), 1164 nucleotides. RefSeq lists it as uncharacterized. The transcript has 3 exons. The record is from RefSeq and is a predicted model, not a curated record. NCBI's taxonomy places the organism in Eukaryota, Metazoa, Chordata, Mammalia, Rodentia, Octodontidae.
GGUGCCCCCGAGUGGGUGUGGUCACGUUGCCCAGCAGUGGGCGGUGAUUGGCCCUGGGCGGUGCGAUCUCAGCUUGUGCGUCACGACGUCGCCAGCUGAUCGGAGACUGGAGCCGGUGUGUGCUGGGCGCUGGAAAGAGACAGCUACGCCGGCCGUGAGGAGCGGACGCAGAGAUUUGCUCCUCUACCUCAGCAGCCCCCACACCCAGCACCAGGAGUCUGUGCCUCCCGUGUCCUCACCUGGCUGAGCCGCAGUAGUUCUUCAGUGGCAAGCUUUAUGUCCUGACCCAGCUAAAGCUGCCAGUUGAAGAACUGUUGCCCUCUGCCCCUGGCUUCAAGGAGGAAGAGCAGGAAGAAGAGCUGGUUUCUCUAUCAUCUGGAAGUGUGUGUCUUCAGCCCUGAGUAUGUGGCUCUGCCAUCUUCACCCUUCAUGGAGCAGAGAUGAGGAAGGCAGCCUGGCAGCACAGAGGCAGGCAGAAGACUAGUAAAAGACCAGGCCUGGAAAGCACAGAGCCCUCUCUGGGUAUGCAGCAGAGGGGUCCAUAAUGGCCGGGAGCACCCCAGGAAGAGGGAGAACGGCCAGCCCCCACCAAGGACAAGUUUCCAGUGAUCUGCUGCUUCACGCACCAUUUAUCUCCAGUCCUUCCUCCCUUGGGGAUGUGAGAUCGGAGUGAAGGUCCAACAGCUUUCACCCUCCUUCUUCCACCUCUUCCCUACCUACUCUGUAAUUUUUAUACGAAUAACUUCAGAGAGCAUGUGCCAGAUGUGACAGGACAUGCACAGGAAAUUCAUUUAAAAAUUUCAAAUGGAUAAAACUGUUAAACCAUAUUCUUGGGGCCGGGGAGAUGGCUCAGUGGAAUAAGCGCUUCCCUGGCAAGCACAAGCGCCUGAGUUCAAUACCUGGUUCUGCCAAAAAACAGAACAAAACAAAACAUAUUCUUCAUUAGUAAAUUAAAAGAAGGCAAAUAUCACUGUCUCCUUUAGCCACCUAGAAUAGAAAUAAGACCCAAUGCUGACAAAAGAGCAGUGCCAUACAGUGCAUAUGGAAAUAUAAAUUGGUAUGCCCUUCCUGGAUGGAAGUUCAGUAAUGGGUAUUAAACACCCUAGAGGUUCCAUAUCCUUUGACCUAGUAAUUCUGUGUUUGGGAAUUUAUCCUAAAAAAAAA